Molecule: non-coding RNA, 217 nt
Filed under: Clostridium carboxidivorans
Lineage: Bacteria; Bacillati; Bacillota; Clostridia; Eubacteriales; Clostridiaceae
Description: T-box sequence
Rfam family: T-box leader
About the family: Uncharged tRNA acts as the effector for transcription antitermination of genes in the T-box leader family. T-boxes are found upstream of many aminoacyl-tRNA synthetase genes and some amino acid biosynthetic genes usually in Gram-positive bacteria. The anticodon of a specific tRNA base pairs to a specifier sequence within the T-box motif, and the NCCA acceptor tail of the tRNA base pairs to a conserved bulge in the T-box antiterminator hairpin.
Source: RNAcentral
AUUAAUUCAUUGAAAAGAAGAGUACUUUUAGAGUUCCUUUAAAGAGAGCAGGGACGGUGAAAGCCUGUAUUGAUAUCUAAAAUGGAAGAGAGUCUUUGAGAAGCUUGUUUUGAAAUCACAAUGAAAAAACAAGACGUUAACUGCGUUAAAGUAUGAGUGGAUAAGGUAGUGAUACCUAUCAAUUAGAGUGGUACCGCGGAUAUAACCCGUCUCUUUU